Molecule: ribosomal RNA, 253 nt
Filed under: uncultured bacterium
Lineage: Bacteria
Description: partial 16S ribosomal RNA
Rfam family: Bacterial small subunit ribosomal RNA
Source: RNAcentral
UACGGAGGAUCCAAGCGUUAUCCGGAAUCAUUGGGUUUAAAGGGUCCGUAGGCGGUUUUGUAAGUCAGUGGUGAAAGCCCAUCGCUCAACGGUGGAACGGCCAUUGAUACUGCAAGACUUGAAUUAUUGGGAAGUAACUAGAAUAUGUAGUGUAGCGGUGAAAUGCUUAGAGAUUACAUGGAAUACCAAUUGCGAAGGCAGGUUACUACCAAUGUAUUGACGCUGAUGGACGAAAGCGCGGGGAGCGAACAGG